Cryptotermes secundus is the source of this 1865-nucleotide long non-coding RNA. RefSeq lists it as uncharacterized. The record is from RefSeq and is a predicted model, not a curated record. The transcript has 2 exons. Lineage: Eukaryota; Metazoa; Arthropoda; Insecta; Blattodea; Kalotermitidae.
UCCACUCCUCCUUACGCCUUCAUGGCGUAGUGUUUACUUAGGUAAGCACAGUGACAACUUUAUGUGGCAUUAUAGUACCUCGGAAGAUAGUACUCCUCUUCUUGGGUGCUUUGUGAUUAGCGUAUGUAUUUGUCUCUGUUGUGAUAAGUUUCGCUUGGCACAAUUUCUUGAAAUACAACUGAACAAUAUAAUUUCACAUAUCAAACCUUGCCUACUUGCAACAAGGUAAGGGUUUGUUUGUAAUACACUUGUUUUGUGAAUUUAUUGCUGUGAGAACAAAUAUUUUUGAACAAUAUGCACAUCUACUAUAAAAGAUAUUUCUACAUGAUAUACAAUACAUUCUUUUUGUAAGUGGAUCAGAAAUAUAUAAUUUUAGGCAUCAAAUUAGUGUAUUUGUGGCACAAAUGUAUGACCAUGGAUGUACAAUUUUUUCACGUUUCCUGUACAGUUUAAUAAUAUGAGGAACAUCCUGAAUUACAGCACUGUAUAUUUCUUUAGAAAAUUAUAUUUUUUCCUGGUUUUACACCUUUAUUUAAUGCAGAUAUCAAUUUUCAACUACAAUUAUGCACUUUUAUUAUUCAUCCUGGCAUGUAUGCACUGUCGGUGGACCCCCCAGUGGAUCUAGGUGACCUAGAGUGAAGUCAGCUGAUGGCAUUGACGCUUGGAGACUCACUGUUGCUGUGUGCGCUCCAGGUGAGCUGUCUUGAGAAGAUCCUGUUAGAGAUGGUGCCUGUGUUCAUGGAGCCGCACGGCUAGAGGUCUGUGUGUUCUGCCAAUGUAACAUCUGCCACAUCCACAGCAAAUGCUGUAGAUGCACUGUGCUGUCUGUAGCUGAUCACUUUCUGGCCUGGUUUUCAUGAGUGAACACAUUCCCGAAGCAUAAGCUCUCAACAACAGGACAUCCAUUGGUAGGUAAUAGACCAAUAAACAUGCAUUCUUAACAACAGAAGAUGAUGUUUUCUCUGGGGUCUGUGCCAAGGAGUUAUAAGAUGGCACAGUCAGUCACAGUUCAGAGAGGGAGUACAACAGAGUAGUGGAGGAGUUUAGUUGGAAGUCAGAAUAGUUCCCAUUGAGUGUCCAGUUGGAAGAAGACGAGAGUGUGUCAGAUAGUGAUUUGAGAACUGUUGUAACCAGUUGUACAAAGGUCCAAUAAAUUCGAUCAUCAAAUCCAAAACCAGUCUUAUCAGCAUGCAAACCCCAGAUAUGUGACAAUAUUGUUUGAAUUUCAUUCUCUUUUGGCCAGACACAUACUUUGAAAUAAAAAAAAAACACAUAAAAUCGAGAUGUCCAUGAAGAAUGAACUAAUGAAGUUAUUUAAAACUUAAGAAAAAGUCAUAAUAAAUAAAUUUCCAUGUUAAUAGUUAAUUAAGCUUUAGUAUAAGACCAAUCAAUAUGUAAGCACCACAAAUAAUUUCAUGAAGGAAAGUACUUGUACUUCUUGCAAAGCUAAUACUUAUUCAACUAGUCUACAAAAAUGUUCUGUCUUUUAUGUAAUCUGAAGGUUCAGUACUGUAUCCACAAGAGCAUGCUAGUAAGCGCCAUACAUACAUAUCCCUAAAUAAGGCUGUGCCUUUAUGCAAAACCAUGCUUCUUUGAACAGGUUUACAAGAAAAAAAGCAUGCUAAUGCUUUCAAUCCUAGUGUCCAUGCUCUGCAACACAACUAAUCUAUAUAAAUAAAUACAAAAACAGAAGUUGGUGCAGAAUUUGUAAAUGUGCUGCUCUGCAGUAUCAAAUAUUAGUAUGUUAUCAUGGCCUCAUAAAUGUGUAUUUAUAAAACACUCCUUCAGAGUAAGUAAUCAACUGUACCUUUUUCAUAACAUUUCUACACAGCUUUCAACCCAAUUUUUAGACAGCAGAAGAUAAA